Molecule: non-coding RNA, 72 nt
Organism: Candidatus Aminicenantes bacterium 4484_214
Lineage: Bacteria; Candidatus Aminicenantota
Source: Rfam
GCGGGCGUAGUUCAGUGGUAGAACGUCUGCUUGCCAAGCAGAAGGUCGGCGGUUCAAAUCCGCUCGUCCGCU